RNAcentral lists this ribosomal RNA (483 nucleotides) under uncultured bacterium. RNAcentral describes it as "bacterial SSU rRNA". It matches the Rfam family "Bacterial small subunit ribosomal RNA", at positions 15 to 507 of the family's 1533-position model. The record is from RNAcentral.
GAUCAUGGCUCAGAACGAACGCUGGCGGCGCGCCUAACACAUGCAAGUCGAACGAGAAUCCGGGGCAACCCGGUAGUAAAGUGGCAAACGGGUGAGGAAUACAUGGGUAACCUACCCUUGAGAAGGGAAUAACCCGCCGAAAGGUGAGCUAAUACCCUAUACGCUAUCUUUUUUCGAAAAGGAUAGGAAAGCCGGGUCGAGGACCUGGUACUCAAGGAGGGGCUCAUGUCCUAUCAGUUAGUUGGUGGGGUAAUGGCUUACCAAGACUAUGACACAUAACUGGUUUGAGAGGAUGAUCAGUCACACUGGAACUGAGACACGGUCCAGACUCCUACGGGAGGCAGCAGGUGGGGAAUAUUGCACAAUGGACGAAAGUCUGAUGCAGCAACGCCGCGUGGAGGAUGACACAUUUCGGUGCGUAAACUCCUUUUAUAUGAGAAGAUAAUGACGGUAUUAUAUGAAUAAGCACCGGCUAACUCCGUG